GACGAACGCUGGCGGCGUGCCUAAUACAUGCAAGUAGAACGCACAGUUUAUACCGUAGCUUGCUACACCAUAGACUGUGAGUUGCGAACGGGUGAGUAACGCGUAGGUAACCUGCCUGGUAGCGGGGGAUAACUAUUGGAAACGAUAGCUAAUACCGCAUAAUAUUAAUUAUUGCAUGAUAAUUAAUUGAAAGGUGCAAUUGCACCACUACCAGAUGGACCUGCGUUGUAUUAGCUAGUAGGUGAGGUAACGGCUCACCUAGGCGACGAUACAUAGCCGACCUGAGAGGGUGAUCGGCCACACUGGGACUGAGACACGGCCCAGACUCCUACGGGAGGCAGCAGUAGGGAAGCUUCGGCAAUGGACGAAAGUCUGACCGAGCAACGCCGCGGGAGUGAAGAAGGUUUUCGGAUCGUAAAGCUCGGUUGUAAGAGAAGAACGGGUGUGAGAGUGGAAAGUUCACACUGUGACGGUAUCUUACCAGAAAGGGACGGCUAACUACGUG
This 505-nucleotide ribosomal RNA is filed under the name uncultured bacterium. Its description in RNAcentral is "partial 16S ribosomal RNA". It matches the Rfam family "Bacterial small subunit ribosomal RNA", at positions 28 to 507 of the family's 1533-position model. The record is from RNAcentral.